This 279-nucleotide ribosomal RNA is filed under the name Ixodes canisuga. RNAcentral describes it as "partial large subunit ribosomal RNA". Lineage: Eukaryota; Metazoa; Arthropoda; Arachnida; Ixodida; Ixodidae. The record is from RNAcentral.
UAUUUUGACUAUGCGAAGGUAUUGAAAUAAGGCUUUAAAUGAGUGCUAAGAGAAUGGUUUAACAAUUAUAAGCUUUCUUUAAUUAAAAAAUUAAAUUUAAUUUUUUUGUGAAGAAGCAAAAAUUUAAAUUAGGGACAAGAAGACCCUAUGAAUUUUAUAUUAAAUAAUAUAAUUUUAAUUAAAUUAUAUUAUUUGAAUUAAUUGGGGUGAUUUAAAAAGAAUAUAUAUCUUUUUAAAAAGUUAAUUUGUUCCGUUUUUAACGAUUUUAUGAAAAAAAUA